GGAUUGUGGCUAAGUGGAAGAGAGUUUGCCUUUCAUGCGUGAAGCACUGGGUUCAAUCCCCAGCACCA
RNAcentral lists this transfer RNA (68 nucleotides) under Marmota monax (woodchuck). RNAcentral's name for it is "tRNA.Glu". Lineage: Eukaryota; Metazoa; Chordata; Mammalia; Rodentia; Sciuridae. The record is from RNAcentral.